ACGACACUCCGGAGAGCGCGGUUUUCCCCGCGCACCAAAGGGGCAACCUGCCGCAAGGGCGGGGAAUCUCUCAGGUAUAUGACGGAGGCGCA
RNAcentral lists this non-coding RNA (92 nucleotides) under bovine gut metagenome. Its description in RNAcentral is "Glycine riboswitch". It matches the Rfam family "Glycine riboswitch aptamer". From Rfam's summary of the family: This family represents the bacterial glycine riboswitch. The record is from RNAcentral.